GCUUACCAUGCAAGUCGAACGGCAGCACGGGUGCUUGCACCUGGUGGCGAGUGGCGAACGGGUGAGUAAUACAUCGGAACGUACCUUGUAGUGGGGGAUAGCUCGGCGAAAGCCGGAUUAAUACCGCAUACGCUCUGAGGAGGAAAGCGGGGGACCUUCGGGCCUCGCGCUACAAGAGCGGCCGAUGUCAGAUUAGCUAGUUGGUGAGGUAAAAGCUCACCAAGGCGACGAUCUGUAGCUGGUCUGAGAGGACGACCAGCCACACUGGGACUGAGACACGGCCCAGACUCCUACGGGAGGCAGCAGUGGGGAAUUUUGGACAAUGGGCGAAAGCCUGAUCCAGCAAUGCCGCGUGUGUGAAGAAGGCCUUCGGGUUGUAAAGCACUUUUGUCCGGAAAGAAAUCCUCUGGGUUAAUACCUCGGGGGGAUGACGGUACCGGAAGAAUAAGCACCGGCUAACUACGUGCCAGCAGCCGCGGUAAUACGUAGGGUGCAAGCGUUAAUCGGAAUUACUGGGCGUAAAGCGUGCGCAGGCGGUUUUGUAAGACGGAUGUGAAAUCCCCGGGCUUAACCUGGGAACUGCAUUCGUGACUGCAAGGCUAGAGUAUGGCAGAGGGGGGUAGAAUUCCACGUGUAGCAGUGAAAUGCGUAGAGAUGUGGAGGAAUACCGAUGGCGAAGGCAGCCCCCUGGGCCAAUACUGACGCUCAUGCACGAAAGCGUGGGGGAGCAAACAGGAUUAGAUACCCUGGUAGUCCACGCCCUAAACGAUGUCAACUAGUUGUUGGGGAUUCAUUUCCUUAGUAACGUAGCUAACGCGUGAAGUUGACCGCCUGGGGAGUACGGUCGCAAGAUUAAAACUCAAAGGAAUUGACGGGGACCCGCACAAGCGGUGGAUGAUGUGGAUUAAUUCGAUGCAACGCGAAAAACCUUACCUACCCUUGACAUGUACGGAAUCCUGCUGAGAGGUGGGAGUGCUCGAAAGAGAACCGUAACACAGGUGCUGCAUGGCUGUCGUCAGCUCGUGUCGUGAGAUGUUGGGUUAAGUCCCGCAACGAGCGCAACCCUUGUCCUUAGUUGCUACGCAAGAGCACUCUAAGGAGACUGCCGGUGACAAACCGGAGGAAGGUGGGGAUGACGUCAAGUCCUCAUGGCCCUUAUGGGUAGGGCUUCACACGUCAUACAAUGGUCGGUACAGAGGGCUGCCAAACCGCGAGGUGGAGCUAACCCCAGAAAACCGAUCGUAGUCCGGAUCGCAGUCUGCAACUCGACUGCGUGAAGCUGGAAUCGCUAGUAAUCGCGGAUCAGCAUGUCGCGGUGAAUACGUUCCCGGGUCUUGUACACACCGCCCGUCACACCAUGGGAGUGGGUUUUGCCAGAAGUAGGUAGCCUAACCGCAAGGAGGGCGCUA
This 1409-nucleotide ribosomal RNA is filed under the name Pandoraea sp. ATSB30. RNAcentral's name for it is "bacterial SSU rRNA". It matches the Rfam family "Bacterial small subunit ribosomal RNA". Lineage: Bacteria; Pseudomonadati; Pseudomonadota; Betaproteobacteria; Burkholderiales; Burkholderiaceae. The record is from RNAcentral.